This is a long non-coding RNA of Varroa destructor (honeybee mite), 1699 nucleotides long. RefSeq lists it as uncharacterized. NCBI's taxonomy places the organism in Eukaryota, Metazoa, Arthropoda, Arachnida, Mesostigmata, Varroidae. The record is from RefSeq and is a predicted model, not a curated record.
CUCGCCUUGUGCGCGCGGAUCGCGGGUCGCGAAAAAUAGUUUCGUUUUUCGAGGAAAGCCUUCGGUGUUGAACAGUCGAGGAUGGACAGUCGGCACUUGCCAAGAUACAGAACCUACGUCGGAUGAAGCUAAAAUCGUGUCCCGCAGCUAGUAACAUCUACAAACCCUGGGCCUGAACUCCGGUUAGGAAAAAGUCUUAACGUAGACUAACUACUGCGUCGACGAAAAGCCUUCUACGAUCCUACUUCAGCGGGCGAAAUAACACGAAGUUUUGUAAAAGACAUCCAUUGUUCUAGGACACGGUUGGCACGAACAAGGCCAAUCCGGGGAACCGUGUCGGUGUUUCAGUGUAACAAAAAAAUUGUAUAGGCUUAUGUUUUGGUACACGUCAAACAAACAGAUUAUUGUUAUUGUUGUAGCCAACACACACAUGUUUUACAUGGGUUGUACAAGCAAGUAGUUCUUACUGUCUGACUUGUGUAAGUAUAAUACUUUAUGACGCGUGCUACAUUGCACAAUUUACGAUGAAACAUGAAGACAGAAAUUUAUUUUCUUCAGUUCCGUCUGUCACGUAAUACCUGGAUUCAAGGAUCGAGUUAUCAAGCAAGAGCUUAUCGAAUGUUUACUCACUUACCCAUUUGCUCAGCGUAAACGCGCGUACAACUAUAGAGUUAAACGGGAGGCUUGUCCAAGUCGGCCGUGAAAUCUACAGUAACUCGCAGCGGCAGCUUAACCUACAGAUUAUAAAAAAUAAGUUACAGAUAACAAAAAAAAGGUAACAAACGUUAAUUAGCUGACAUAAAAUCGGGUUCCAAGAUACAAAGGAAUUGACGAAGUACGGAAAAGCGCGUAAAACCAACAAGCAAGGACCUGAUCAACUGUCGCCGAGCUUUCUCGCAGUACUAAAGCAUGGCGAACUAACUAGCCAUAGUAGGUAGGAGUUAUUAUUAUGACCCGUUAGCGUGCGAGAACGCAGAAUUCCCUCCACAACGGAAAAAACAUAAACAUUCGGAUAAAAUAAUUUCUGUGACGAACUUCAAAAGUUAUCUUCAAACGAAAAAUCAAAUUGAGAGCUGCAUGCGCCAGCAGCGGAAUUUCUAUCUCGGAUAAUCGCGUGAGCCUGACGUUAUAGUCUGUCAGACGAAGAGUUCACCUGUUGCACCAAUUUGAAGAUAAAGCUACAGUAGCAACUGACCGAAGAAAGAUGACCUCAUAGAUGUUAGUAGAGGAAAAAUUGGCUAGAGAUUUCAGUUUUUGUGUCCUGGCUAUUGCCCUGCAUUGGAAUGACGUACUUCACUUUUUCUAGCUUUAUUUAGAUUAGCCAACUGUUACUAUAGAAGAUGUUUCAUCUUGCUCAUCAGUGUGAAAUGGCUCUUUUUUAAACAGAGGAACCGGAAACAGCUCAGUCUAAAAGAGGUAAAAAGAUACGAAUCAUUAAACCAAACAGGGUAUAAAGUGAACGAUGAAAUGGAGAAUUACUGCUAAGCGAUACUAACGCUAAUCAUUCAUAUUUUCCAUGUUUUUCGAAUCGUUGAGCAUUCUUCGUAUAUUAUUUGCAUACACUGAUCCUUGCUUGUUUAAUAGUAUAAAGUAUUGUUGCACUACAAUUCGAUCGUAUGUUACCGAUGCAUCACGAAAAUUUGAAAAUGCCGCGGUAUCGAAUGCAUUUUACUCGAAGCACGGAUGGGACGACUGCAAA